UUUGAAUAUAAUAAAAAUAUUCAAUAAAAUAUUCUAUUUUCUUAUAAAAUAAUAUUUAUAGAGUUACCGGUAAAUAAUUUUUGUAGCAUAAAAGCUAAAUAAAUUCAUACAUAUUGUAAUACAGAUAACCAAAGCAUAAGAUUUAAUUUACAGUGACAUGUGGGCCCACGAACGACCAAAAGUAUCAAAAGUGGUAAACCUAC
This 203-nucleotide long non-coding RNA is filed under the name Theobroma cacao (cacao). RNAcentral's name for it is "long non-coding RNA (TCAC_LNC001774)". The record is from RNAcentral. Lineage: Eukaryota; Viridiplantae; Streptophyta; Magnoliopsida; Malvales; Malvaceae.